GGGUUGUGAGGUUAAGCGACUAAGCGUACACGGUGGAUGCCCUGGCAGUCAGAGGCGAUGAAGGACGUGCUAAUCUGCGAUAAGCGUCGGUAAGGUGAUAUGAACCGUUAUAACCGGCGAUUUCCGAAUGGGGAAACCCAGUGUGUUUCGACACACUAUCAUUAACUGAAUCCAUAGGUUAAUGAGGCGAACCGGGGGAACUGAAACAUCUAAGUACCCCGAGGAAAAGAAAUCAACCGAGAUUCCCCCAGUAGCGGCGAGCGAACGGGGAGCAGCCCAGAGCCUGAAUCAGUGUGUGUGUUAGUGGAAGCGUCUGGAAAGGCGCGCGAUACAGGGUGACAGCCCCGUACACAAAAAUGCACAUGCUGUGAGCUCGAUGAGUAGGGCGGGACACGUGGUAUCCUGUCUGAAUAUGGGGGGACCAUCCUCCAAGGCUAAAUACUCCUGACUGACCGAUAGUGAACCAGUACCGUGAGGGAAAGGCGAAAAGAACCCCGGCGAGGGGAGUGAAAAAGAACCUGAAACCGUGUACGUACAAGCAGUGGGAGCACGCUUCGGCGUGUGACUGCGUACCUUUUGUAUAAUGGGUCAGCGACUUAUAUUCUGUAGCAAGGUUAACCGAAUAGGGGAGCCGAAGGGAAACCGAGUCUUAACUGGGCGUUAAGUUGCAGGGUAUAGACCCGAAACCCGGUGAUCUAGCCAUGGGCAGGUUGAAGGUUGGGUAACACUAACUGGAGGACCGAACCGACUAAUGUUGAAAAAUUAGCGGAUGACUUGUGGCUGGGGGUGAAAGGCCAAUCAAACCGGGAGAUAGCUGGUUCUCCCCGAAAGCUAUUUAGGUAGCGCCUCGUGAAUUCAUCUCCGGGGGUAGAGCACUGUUUCGGCAAGGGGGUCAUCCCGACUUACCAACCCGAUGCAAACUGCGAAUACCGGAGAAUGUUAUCACGGGAGACACACGGCGGGUGCUAACGUCCGUCGUGAAGAGGGAAACAACCCAGACCGCCAGCUAAGGUCCCAAAGUCAUGGUUAAGUGGGAAACGAUGUGGGAAGGCCCAGACAGCCAGGAUGUUGGCUUAGAAGCAGCCAUCAUUUAAAGAAAGCGUAAUAGCUCACUGGUCGAGUCGGCCUGCGCGGAAGAUGUAACGGGGCUAAACCAUGCACCGAAGCUGCGGCAGCGACGCUUAUGCGUUGUUGGGUAGGGGAGCGUUCUGUAAGCCUGUGAAGGUGUGCUGUGAGGCAUGCUGGAGGUAUCAGAAGUGCGAAUGCUGACAUAAGUAACGAUAAAGCGGGUGAAAAGCCCGCUCGCCGGAAGACCAAGGGUUCCUGUCCAACGUUAAUCGGGGCAGGGUGAGUCGACCCCUAAGGCGAGGCCGAAAGGCGUAGUCGAUGGGAAACAGGUUAAUAUUCCUGUACUUGGUGUUACUGCGAAGGGGGGACGGAGAAGGCUAUGUUGGCCGGGCGACGGUUGUCCCGGUUUAAGCGUGUAGGCUGGUUUUCCAGGCAAAUCCGGAAAAUCAAGGCUGAGGCGUGAUGACGAGGCACUACGGUGCUGAAGCAACAAAUGCCCUGCUUCCAGGAAAAGCCUCUAAGCAUCAGGUAACAUCAAAUCGUACCCCAAACCGACACAGGUGGUCAGGUAGAGAAUACCAAGGCGCUUGAGAGAACUCGGGUGAAGGAACUAGGCAAAAUGGUGCCGUAACUUCGGGAGAAGGCACGCUGAUAUGUAGGUGAGGUCCCUCGCGGAUGGAGCUGAAAUCAGUCGAAGAUACCAGCUGGCUGCAACUGUUUAUUAAAAACACAGCACUGUGCAAACACGAAAGUGGACGUAUACGGUGUGACGCCUGCCCGGUGCCGGAAGGUUAAUUGAUGGGGUUAGCGGUAACGCGAAGCUCUUGAUCGAAGCCCCGGUAAACGGCGGCCGUAACUAUAACGGUCCUAAGGUAGCGAAAUUCCUUGUCGGGUAAGUUCCGACCUGCACGAAUGGCGUAAUGAUGGCCAGGCUGUCUCCACCCGAGACUCAGUGAAAUUGAACUCGCUGUGAAGAUGCAGUGUACCCGCGGCAAGACGGAAAGACCCCGUGAACCUUUACUAUAGCUUGACACUGAACAUUGAGCCUUGAUGUGUAGGAUAGGUGGGAGGCUUUGAAGUGUGGACGCCAGUCUGCAUGGAGCCGACCUUGAAAUACCACCCUUUAAUGUUUGAUGUUCUAACGUUGACCCGUAAUCCGGGUUGCGGACAGUGUCUGGUGGGUAGUUUGACUGGGGCGGUCUCCUCCUAAAGAGUAACGGAGGAGCACGAAGGUUGGCUAAUCCUGGUCGGACAUCAGGAGGUUAGUGCAAUGGCAUAAGCCAGCUUGACUGCGAGCGUGACGGCGCGAGCAGGUGCGAAAGCAGGUCAUAGUGAUCCGGUGGUUCUGAAUGGAAGGGCCAUCGCUCAACGGAUAAAAGGUACUCCGGGGAUAACAGGCUGAUACCGCCCAAGAGUUCAUAUCGACGGCGGUGUUUGGCACCUCGAUGUCGGCUCAUCACAUCCUGGGGCUGAAGUAGGUCCCAAGGGUAUGGCUGUUCGCCAUUUAAAGUGGUACGCGAGCUGGGUUUAGAACGUCGUGAGACAGUUCGGUCCCUAUCUGCCGUGGGCGCUGGAGAACUGAGGGGGGCUGCUCCUAGUACGAGAGGACCGGAGUGGACGCAUCACUGGUGUUCGGGUUGUCAUGCCAAUGGCACUGCCCGGUAGCUAAAUGCGGAAGAGAUAAGUGCUGAAAGCAUCUAAGCACGAAACUUGCCCGAGAUGAGUUCUCCCUGACUCCUUGAGAGUCCUGAAGGAACGUUGAAGACGACGACGUUGAUAGGCCGGGUGUGUAAGCGCAGCGAUGCGUUGAGCUAACCGGUACUAAUGAACCGUGAGGCUUAACCUUACAACGCCGAAG
This 2926-nucleotide ribosomal RNA is filed under the name Escherichia coli. RNAcentral describes it as "bacterial LSU rRNA". It matches the Rfam family "Bacterial large subunit ribosomal RNA". Lineage: Bacteria; Pseudomonadati; Pseudomonadota; Gammaproteobacteria; Enterobacterales; Enterobacteriaceae. The record is from RNAcentral.